Molecule: ribosomal RNA, 440 nt
Filed under: uncultured bacterium
Lineage: Bacteria
Description: bacterial SSU rRNA
Rfam family: Bacterial small subunit ribosomal RNA
Source: RNAcentral
CCUACGGGUGGCUGCAGUGAGGAAUAUUGGACAAUGGAGGCAACUCUGAUCCAGCCAUGCCGCGUGCAGGAAGACUGCCCUAUGGGUUGUAAACUGCUUUUAUAGAGGAAGAACUAGUGCUACGUGUAGCACCUUGACGGUACUCUACGAAUAAGGAUCGGCUAACUCCGUGCCAGCAGCCGCGGUAAUACGGAGGAUCCAAGCGUUAUCCGGAAUCAUUGGGUUUAAAGGGUCCGUAGGCGGGCAGCUCAGUCAGUGGUGAAAGUCUGCAGCUCAACUGUAGAAUUGCCAUUGAUACUGGUUGUCUUGAAUUAUUAUGAAGUGGUUAGAAUAUGUAGUGUAGCGGUGAAAUGCAUAGAUAUUACAUAGAAUACCGAUUGCGAAGGCAGAUCACUAAUAAUAUAUUGACGCUGAGGGACGAAAGCGUGGGGAGCGAACAG